Molecule: ribosomal RNA, 207 nt
Filed under: uncultured bacterium
Lineage: Bacteria
Description: partial 16S ribosomal RNA
Rfam family: Bacterial small subunit ribosomal RNA
Source: RNAcentral
UGCGUAGGUGGCGAGGUAAGUCGGAUGUGAAAUCUCGGAGCUCAACUCCGAAACUGCAUUGGAAACUACCUUGCUCGAGGGUUGGAGGGGGGACUGGAAUGCUUGGUGUAGCAGUGAAAUGCGUAGAUAUCAAGCGGAACACCAGUGGCGAAGGCGAGUCCCUGGACAACUCCUGACACUGAGGCACGAAAGCUAGGGGAGCAAACA